Molecule: long non-coding RNA, 249 nt
Organism: Centruroides sculpturatus (bark scorpion)
Lineage: Eukaryota; Metazoa; Arthropoda; Arachnida; Scorpiones; Buthidae
Exons: 3
Source: RefSeq, a predicted model, not a curated record
AGUUUGUCUGCUGUAUUCAAUCAAAACGAAGAAUUUGUGAAAGAUGAAAACCGUUGGAUUUCUUUCGGUUCUGCUUGUCUUGAAUGCGAUGAUUGCAACUUUUUCAAUGGUGGAAGCUCUAUGUUUGUCUUGAAGAGGGGGAGAUUAUGACUGCAGGGUUAGUGGAACAUGCGAAAAUGGUAAAUGUGUAUGCGGCUCUGGUCGAAGUGAUUUCUCACGCGACUACAAAAAAUGAUCAGAAAAUAAGAA